This 314-nucleotide ribosomal RNA is filed under the name uncultured Aeromonas sp. Its description in RNAcentral is "bacterial SSU rRNA". It matches the Rfam family "Bacterial small subunit ribosomal RNA", at positions 1124 to 1437 of the family's 1533-position model. The record is from RNAcentral. Lineage: Bacteria; Pseudomonadati; Pseudomonadota; Gammaproteobacteria; Aeromonadales; Aeromonadaceae.
CGUAAUGGUGGGAACUCAAGGGAGACUGCCGGUGAUAAACCGGAGGAAGGUGGGGAUGACGUCAAGUCAUCAUGGCCCUUACGGCCAGGGCUACACACGUGCUACAAUGGCGCGUACAGAGGGCUGCAAGCUAGCGAUAGUGAGCGAAUCCCAAAAAGCGCGUCGUAGUCCGGAUCGGAGUCUGCAACUCGACUCCGUGAAGUCGGAAUCGCUAGUAAUCGCAAAUCAGAAUGUUGCGGUGAAUACGUUCCCGGGCCUUGUACACACCGCCCGUCACACCAUGGGAGUGGGUUGCACCAGAAGUAGAUAGCUAA